AUGCAAGUCGAACGGCAGCACGGGAGCAAUCCUGGUGGCGAGUGGCGAACGGGUGAGUAAUGUAUCGGAACGUACCUUUCAGUGGGGGAUAACGUAGCGAAAGUUACGCUAAUACCGCAUAUUCUGUGAGCAGGAAAGCAGGGGAUCGCAAGACCUUGCGCUGAUUGAGCGGCCGAUAUCAGAUUAGCUAGUUGGUGAGGUAAAGGCUCACCAAGGCGACGAUCUGUAGCGGGUCUGAGAGGAUGAUCCGCCACACUGGAACUGAGACACGGUCCAGACUCCUACGGGAGGCAGCAGUGGGGAAUUUUGGACAAUGGGGGCAACCCUGAUCCAGCCAUGCCGCGUGAGUGAAGAAGGCCUUCGGGUUGUAAAGCUCUUUCAGCCGGGAAGAAAUCACAUGGGUUAAUACCCUGUGUGGAUGACGGUACCGGAAUAAGAAGCACCGGCUAACUACGUGCCAGCAGCCGCGGUAAUACGUAGGGUGCGAGCGUUAAUCGGAAUUACUGGGCGUAAAGCGUGCGCAGGCGGUUUGUUAAGAUAGGCGUGAAAUCCCCGGGCUCAACCUGGGAACUGCGUUUAUGACUGGCAGGCUAGAGUAUGGCAGAGGGGGGUGGAAUUCCACGUGUAGCAGUGAAAUGCGUAGAGAUGUGGAGGAACACCGAUGGCGAAGGCAGCCCCCUGGGCCAAUACUGACGCUCAUGCACGAAAGCGUGGGUAGCAAACAGGAUUAGAUACCCUGGUAGUCCACGCCCUAAACGAUGUCAACUAGGUGUUGGGUGGGUAAAACCAUUUAGUACCGGAGCUAACGCGUGAAGUUGACCGCCUGGGGAGUACGGCCGCAAGGUUAAAACUCAAAGGAAUUGACGGGGACCCGCACAAGCGGUGGAUGAUGUGGAUUAAUUCGAUGCAACGCGAAAAACCUUACCUACCCUUGACAUGUCCAGAAGCUCUUAGAGAUUUGAGUGUGCCCGAAAGGGAACUGGAACACAGGUGCUGCAUGGCUGUCGUCAGCUCGUGUCGUGAGAUGUUGGGUUAAGUCCCGCAACGAGCGCAACCCUUGUCGUUAAUUGCCAUCAUUCAGUUGGGCACUUUAACGAGACUGCCGGUGACAAACCGGAGGAAGGUGGGGAUGACGUCAAGUCCUCAUGGCCCUUAUGGGUAGGGCUUCACACGUCAUACAAUGGUCGGUACAAAGGGUUGCCAACCCGCGAGGGGGAGCUAAUCCCAGAAAGCCGAUCGUAGUCCGGAUCGUAGGCUGCAACUCGCCUGCGUGAAGUCGGAAUCGCUAGUAAUCG
RNAcentral lists this ribosomal RNA (1295 nucleotides) under bacterium BH302. RNAcentral describes it as "bacterial SSU rRNA". It matches the Rfam family "Bacterial small subunit ribosomal RNA", at positions 55 to 1344 of the family's 1533-position model. The record is from RNAcentral.